AGCCGAACGGUAACGACACUAGCUUGCUAGUGGGCGACGAGUGGCGGACGGGUGAGUAACGCGUAGGAAUCUACCUAGUAGUGGGGGAUAGCCAAGGGAAACUUUGGGUAAUACCGCAUACGAUCUACGGAUGAAAGGGGGCCUCUCUUUGAAGCUCUCGCUAUCAGAUGAGCCUGCGUAAGAUUAGCUUGUUGGUGAGGUAAUGGCUCACCAAGGCUACGAUCUUUAGCUGGUCUGAGAGGAUGAUCAGUCACACUGGAACUGAGACACGGUCCAGACUCCUACGGGAGGCAGCAGUCGGGAACAUUGGACAAUGGGGGCAACCCUGAUCCAGCCAUGCCGCGUGUGUGAAGGAGGCCCUAGGGUUGUAAAGCACUUUUAGUAGUGAGGAAGGCUCGGUAGCUAAUACCUGCCGGGAUUGACGUUAGCUACAGAAAAAGCACCGGCUAAUUUCGUGCCAGCAGCCGCGGUAAUACGAAAGGUGCAAGCGUUAAUCGGAAUUACUGGGCGUAAAGCGCGC
Molecule: ribosomal RNA, 520 nt
Filed under: uncultured bacterium
Lineage: Bacteria
Description: bacterial SSU rRNA
Rfam family: Bacterial small subunit ribosomal RNA
Source: RNAcentral